This 206-nucleotide ribosomal RNA is filed under the name uncultured bacterium. RNAcentral's name for it is "partial 16S ribosomal RNA". It matches the Rfam family "Bacterial small subunit ribosomal RNA", at positions 568 to 774 of the family's 1533-position model. The record is from RNAcentral.
CGCGUAGGUGGUUUGUUAAGUUGGAUGUGAAAGCCCCGGGCUCAACCUGGGAACUGCAUCCAAAACUGGCAGCUAGAGUACGGUAGAGGGUGGUGGAAUUUCCUGUGUAGCGGUGAAAUGCGUAGAUAUAGGAAGGAACACCAGUGGCGAAGGCGACCACCUGGACUGAUACUGACACUGAGGUGCGAAAGCGUGGGGAGCAAACA